GCGUCUUAAGACCCACAGUCAGAAAGGCAAGAAUGUUAGCGUCCUGCCUUGGGGCCAGUGAAAGGAGGGCAGGAGGUCAAAGUCCCCCGCCCACACCCCCCAAGCCUCACCCACCCAACAUUCUAACAAAAGGCCCUACCGAGGGCUAUGGGAAUAUGGGAAUUACCAGCCAGGAACGGUGGAGGAAAACCAGCGUCUACCAGAAUGCCAGACAGCUUCUUAGGAGUGGAAGCAAUGGUCCCAGUUUGCAGUGUCUUGUAUGGACGUGAUCCGUACCAACUUGGUUUCCAGAAGGCACCACCCAAAUUAGAGGCCCUUCUCACUGUGACCCUGCCGGCAGUAAGCCUCAGAAACUGCUCUCAACACACAGUCAGCAUCUAUGCCGGCUUCUUUCCGCAGCUGCGCUACCAGGUGGGGAACACCUAUGGGCGUACCACGGGGCAGCUGCUCACAGACCCCAGUGUGCAGAAGAGCCCCUGCUCUGUGCUGUCCCCCAUGUCCAAGCCCAAGUUCAUUGAGGACUUCAGCCAGUCCAAGCCCCCGAGGGUUCCCUGCCGAGACCUGACGGAGCCCUACAUCCCCCACUACACCAGUCUGAAGCCCUAUAAGAACUUUGAGAUUCUGGGCCAGCUCCCACCCUUGGAGGUGGACGCCCAGGAGCCGCCAGGGGUAGAGAACAUACCCAGACAGAUUCUGCUGCCUGCAGGCUUCACGCCCGACCCCCCGCACCCUCCGUGCCCGCCAGGCAGGAAGGGAGACUCCAGAGACUUGGGACACCCAAUAUACGGGGAAGAGGCCUGGAAGAGCGCCACUCCUGUCUGCGAGGCCCCCAGGCAGCACCAGCUGUACCACUGCCGGAGGGAUGAGUACCCACCCCCCGCCCGCCAGCAGGAGGCGCUAGAUGUGGGCAGCUUCCAGUGGCUGCCGCAGCUGGACCACCCUAACCUGAUCCAACGCAAGGCCAUCUCAGAACAGGCUAGCGGCCUGGGGGGACCUCCUCUGCCUCCCAGCUGCUUCCAGGAGCCCAGCUUUUCCCAAGACGAGGCGGUGCCUUGCCUGCCUGUUCCCAUUUGGCCACAUCAGACAGUCGCCAACGUUCAGGGAACGAAAGGGAGCCUUGCCUGGCUUCCCUGACACGUCUGAGGGCAGGUGGGUGUGCCCAGGGGAAGGCUAAGGGGGCUUGGGGUAGCCCGUACAUCUGCCUACCCCCAGGCUAUGCUGGCUUCAUUCCCCGGUUCACCUGGGUAAUGGGGUUGAAUUACCGAGACGGCGUCACACAAGCCAUGGACGAAUUCGACAAGAGCCAGUUCCUGUUUAGAAACCCCCACUGUGACCUGGGCGAGAAGCUGCCUGGAACACACUGGCCCAGCAACCACAUCUACAGCAGCCAAGGCCUGAUCCCCUUCUACAUGGGGUUCAUCCCCUCCAUGCAGGACAACUACGCCCUGACAUUCGGCAACAGCACCCGGAGGGCCUACUGGAAGGAAUGGGCAAAGCGAAACCACACACUAUGAAAAUGCUUUAAUGGUGGUGUCUGUACAGCAUGGACGUGGACAGGGAAAACAGCAAGUGCACACAGCGGGACAGGCCACAGAACAGGCUGGGAGUGAAUAAAGAGUUCACACUGCU
This is an RNA transcript of Pan troglodytes (chimpanzee), 1629 nucleotides long. It is a transcript of the gene named ciliary microtubule inner protein 2A, with no coding region annotated. Lineage: Eukaryota; Metazoa; Chordata; Mammalia; Primates; Hominidae. The record is from RefSeq and is a predicted model, not a curated record. The transcript has 7 exons.